UGCUCGGGGGCUACUGGCGGGCUUGGGAGUUGUGGGUUUAUGCCUACUUUCCUAGGCUUGCUCCCGUACCGGUCACGGAGACUCCUCUGGUUGUCCCGUUUUCGCGUCGCUUUGACGGGAGAUGCACCCGGAGGCCGCGAGAGACUUUCAACUUCUUUCGCCGCUACUUCGACACCAUUACCCCUGCCGAGAUCACUUGGCAGUCGUGGGCUCCGUUGCUGGCGGCGAUACGGGACCGGUUUGCUGGUGCUGAGGAGACCUCGCGUUUUCGGAUCUUGCUAGAGGGCCCGGUCUGUCGGGCUUGGUACCUGGGUGAGCGUUUUCUACGCCAGACCCUAGGGUUACCGGAGCAGAUAGUCCCGGUUCAC
Non-coding RNA from Camellia sinensis, 368 nucleotides. The record is from RefSeq and is a predicted model, not a curated record. NCBI's taxonomy places the organism in Eukaryota, Viridiplantae, Streptophyta, Magnoliopsida, Ericales, Theaceae.